This 440-nucleotide ribosomal RNA is filed under the name uncultured bacterium. RNAcentral's name for it is "partial 16S ribosomal RNA". It matches the Rfam family "Bacterial small subunit ribosomal RNA", at positions 339 to 795 of the family's 1533-position model. The record is from RNAcentral.
CUACGGGAUGCAGCAGUGAGGAAUAUUGCACAAUGGGGGGAACCCUGAUGCAGCAACGCCGCGUGGAGGAUGACGCAUUUCGGUGUGUAAACUCCUUUUAUAUGUCAAGAAAAUGACGGUAGCAUAUGAAUAAGCACCGGCUAACUCCGUGCCAGGCAGCCGCGGUAAUACGGGGGGUGCAAGCGUUACUCGGAAUCACUGGGCGUAAAGGACGCGUAGGCGGGUUGGAAAGUCAGGUGUGAAAUCCUACAGCUUAACUGUAGAACUGCACUUGAAACUUCUAAUCUAGAGUAUGGGAGGGGGAGAUGGAAUUAGUGGUGUAGGGGUAAAAUCCGUAGAUAUCACUAGGAAUACCUAAAGCGAAGGCGAUCUCCUGGAACAUUACUGACGCUAAGGCGUGAAAGCGUGGGGAGCAAACAGGAUUAGAUACCCCAGUAGUC